Molecule: long non-coding RNA, 203 nt
Filed under: Mytilus galloprovincialis (Mediterranean mussel)
Lineage: Eukaryota; Metazoa; Mollusca; Bivalvia; Mytilida; Mytilidae
Source: RNAcentral
AAAAAAAAAAGGCAGGAUGAGACACUUGCAAAAAUAAAAGUCAGGACGACAAUUUAGGUAAAAAAAAGUCAGAAUAAACUAAAAAAAAAAAAGCAGGACAACAGAGUGAAAAUAAAAAGGCAGGACAGAGAUUACAGCUAAAAAAAAUGCAGGACAAAAUUUUUCAUCCUAGCCCCCCCAUAAAUAUCAAAUGGUAGCUCCCU